UCCGCAGGCGGGCAAUUAAGUCAGGGGUGGAAUGGUGCGGCUCAACCGUAGCACUGCCCUUGAUACUGGUUGUCUUGAGUCAUAGUGAAGUGGCCGGAAUAUGUAGUGUAGCGGUGAAAUGCAUAGAUAUUACAUAGAACACCGAUUGCGAAGGCAGGUCACUAACUAUCGACUGACGCUGAUGGACGAAAGCGUGGGGAGCGAACAGGAUUAGAUACCAUGGUAGUCC
This 229-nucleotide ribosomal RNA is filed under the name uncultured bacterium. RNAcentral's name for it is "partial 16S ribosomal RNA". It matches the Rfam family "Bacterial small subunit ribosomal RNA", at positions 568 to 796 of the family's 1533-position model. The record is from RNAcentral.